This 203-nucleotide long non-coding RNA is filed under the name Capsicum annuum. Its description in RNAcentral is "long non-coding RNA (CANN_LNC010913)". Lineage: Eukaryota; Viridiplantae; Streptophyta; Magnoliopsida; Solanales; Solanaceae. The record is from RNAcentral.
CGUUGGUUAUUCUUAUUCUUUGUGUUGUUAAUCAUAGUUUGGUGGGCUGGUUGCUGUGGUAAACACCCUUAUUUAUCUAGUUUUGUUGGUUACUUGUUGAAUCAGAGAGUGGUCAUCAAAGUGGUCCUCGAUUCUUUGAACUAGUGGACUAUUUUGGUGUAUGUUUUCGUGUGUUCCUUGCCUUUCUUGUAUCAUUUGGUAUC